Molecule: ribosomal RNA, 400 nt
Filed under: uncultured bacterium
Lineage: Bacteria
Description: bacterial SSU rRNA
Rfam family: Bacterial small subunit ribosomal RNA
Source: RNAcentral
GGAAUAUUGCGCAAUGGAGGAAACUCUGACGCAGUGACGCCGCGUGCAGGAAGAAGGUUUUCGGAUUGUAAACUGCUUUAGACAAGGAAGAAUCAAGACAGUACUUGUAGAAUAAGCUCCGGCUAACUACGUGCCAGCAGCCGCGGUAAUACGUAGGGAGCAAGCGUUAUCCGGAUUUAUUGGGUGUAAAGGGUGCGUAGACGGAGUAGCAAGUUGGUUGUGAAAUCCCUCGGCUCAACUGAGGAACUGCAACCAAAACUACUACCCUUGAGUGCUGGACAGGAAAGUGGAAUUCCUAGUGUAGCGGUGAAAUGCGUAGAUAUUAGGAGGAACACCAGUGGCGAAGGCGACUUUCUGGACAGUAACUGACGUUGAGGCACGAAAGUGUGGGGAGCAAACA